GACGAAGGGGGCUAGCGUUGUUCGGAAUUACUGGGCGUAAAGCGCGCGCAGGCGGUCCUUUAAGUCGGGGGUGAAAGCCCAGAGCUCAACUCUGGAACUGCCUUCGAAACUAGAGGACUUGGGUACGGGAGAGGUGAGUGGAAUUCCGAGUGUAGAGGUGAAAUUCGUAGAUAUUCGGAAGAACACCAGUGGCGAAGGCGGCUCACUGGCCCGUUACCGACGCUCAGGCGCGACAGCGUGGGGAGCAAACAGG
RNAcentral lists this ribosomal RNA (253 nucleotides) under uncultured bacterium. Its description in RNAcentral is "partial 16S ribosomal RNA". It matches the Rfam family "Bacterial small subunit ribosomal RNA", at positions 524 to 776 of the family's 1533-position model. The record is from RNAcentral.